Molecule: non-coding RNA, 927 nt
Organism: Arachis ipaensis
Lineage: Eukaryota; Viridiplantae; Streptophyta; Magnoliopsida; Fabales; Fabaceae
Source: RefSeq, a predicted model, not a curated record
AUUCGUUUUUACCCUUUUAUAGAAUUAUGGAAGAUGAUUUUCCUCACUCUUGCUCUUCCCCAAUUUCCAUUUUCUCAUUUUUCCAAUUUAUCCCUUUCCAUCUCAUAACGUUUUUUCUUCCUUUUGAUUUCACACAAAAAUACAGAAUCAAACCUUGAGUUUCAAUUUCAGUUCCGCAUAAGGCUCAUCCACACAAGAAACAAACUAGUUGGAAAAACUGGUGGUGCCAGGUGGAAAUCCAUGUCCGAUGCUGUGAGCAAAGCAAACAUGUUCUCUGAUUCUCUUUUAUUAUUCUUUUUUCUUCAAAUAACAAUUAUUUCUGCUUUUGUUGUUGUUUUACGAAGAACAUACUAGCAUAUGAGGAGAAUAUCAAAGCCUACAACAAAAGAUUCAUAAUUGCUUUAACUCAAUAUUUUCAUUCUCUCUUAUAUUGUGAUUUAUACAAAUCUUAUGAUUGAGCUCUUUUAAUGUUUAGAAUGAGGGUGGAGAUUCUAAUAAGUCAAAAUCUGUGGUGAAUGAUGAUUAUGAUGAUGAAGAGAGGAUGAGUGAAGUAGCUGCUGUGGUGAAGGAAAAGACCUUGGAGUGGGAAGAAAUAAUUUCAUUCAUUAUCAAUCUUCAUAUAGUUUUGAAAGUUGAUUAACAAUAUAGUUUGAUCAUCUUAAUUUUCCACUUACUUUUAUGUGUGAAGAUCAUGAGAUUUAAGGUUUAGUAGGUUGUGUAUGUUUGAUUCAUCGAAAGGAAUAUAUUUUAGAUGCCAUAAUAUAAUUUUCUUCUUCUUAUGUUUUUGGGCAAAAAACUAUAUUCAUUAUUUUUAUUUAUUUUUAGUUUAAGGGAGUACUUUACCUUUAUAGAUGUUAGAAAAUAAGUUUGUAAAACUCUAUAUUUAUUUAAGUUAGUUAUCAUUUUGUGUUUGAAAGUAUUAUGUUA